Molecule: long non-coding RNA, 977 nt
Organism: Amborella trichopoda
Lineage: Eukaryota; Viridiplantae; Streptophyta; Magnoliopsida; Amborellales; Amborellaceae
Source: RefSeq, a predicted model, not a curated record
UCAGAGGGAGAGAGGGUUUCUUGGAGGAAAGAGAGAGCACACAGAUCAUAGGGAUUAAAACCCACCUCCAAAAAGUUGUUAUCUCCAUUACCCAUUCUCCAUUACCAGUACCCCAUGGCCUCAUUUUCUCUGUCUUGAAGAAAUGCUUGAAAAUACCCCAAUCGAAGGGUUUCUUGGAGGAGAGAGAGCACGCAGAUUAGAGGGAGAGAAGGCUUCUUGGAGAGAAGAGAGAGCCCGCACCAUUAAAAGAGGGAGAGAGAAGUUCUUGGAGAGAGAUUUUUUUUCAGACGAUGAGGGCAGGAAGAUCUUAGAGAGAGAGAGAGUCCAAUGGCAGGCAAGACGGAACACGGUCAUCUCGAAAAUAGGGUAUGCUCUUCGUCGUGCCUAGGCCUCUAGGUCUUUGUUGGAACUGUGCGGAUCGAUUUGUACUUAAAUUGUAGCGAGAUUGGAAAUGCUCGUAAGGUGUUUGAUGAAAUGGAGGUUAAGGAUGCAAUCACUUUUACCCCGAUGAUUUCAGGUCAUUGCAGAAUUGGUGAAUUGAGUUUUUCUCAAGAACUCUUUGAUGUCAUGCCUGAGAUAAACACAGCUUCAUGGAAUGCUUUGAUUGAUGGCUAUUUAAAGGGUGGUGAUAUAGAAAAGGCCGCUUCGCUCUUUGAUGAAAUGAGUCAUAAGGAUUUGGUUUCUUGGACCACCAUGACCUCGAGAUUUUCAAAAAAUGGAAGGUUUAAAGAGGCAGCUGUGUUCAAAGAGAUGGAGGCCCAAGUUGUGAGCCCUGAUGCAGUAACCAUGGCUACAAUGAUCUAAGCUUGCGCACACCUAGAGGGCCUUGAUUUAGGGAGAGAGAUACAUAAAUAUGUUAGCUGAAAUGGUUUCAAUCUUGAUGUCUUUAUAGGAUCCUCUUUGAUCGAUACGUAUGCAAAACAUUCUCAGGCGUAAGAAUUGUAUCUCAUUGUCUGCAAUGCUAGUCUUUUUUACUU